CUGGUUGAUCCUGCCAGUAGUCAUAUGCUUGUUUCAAGGAUUAAGCCAUGCAAGCCUAAGAGUAACUGAGACAAUAGGAGGUCUGCGAACGGCUCAUUAUAUCAGAAAUGAUCUACCGGGAAAAUUGCAGUGAGAACUGCUUUAAUGGAUAACUUCGCGAAACGCGAAGCUAAUACAUGUACGCUACGUGACGCAUUCCAUUCAACCACUGCGGGGAAACCCAAUGUGGGGAAUGUGGCUCGCGAAUGGUUGCUACAAAGACCGACGCCAGCAAUGGCAGUGUCGUAAAUUGAUGAAUCAAACCAUUCAGCAAAAGCGCACCUCUGGUGCGCGAGUCCCGACGAAUUUCUGCCCUAUCAGCUUUUGACGGUAGUGUAGUGGACUACCGUGGCGAUAACGGGUACGGGGAAUUAGGGUUCGAUUCCGGAGAGGGAGCCUGAGAAACAGCUACCACUUCUACGGAGGGCAGCAGGCGCGUAAAUUGCCCAAUGCCAAAUUGGUGAGGCAGCGAAGAGAAAUAGCGACUCCGCCUCUUUGAGUGUGGGGGUUGCAAUGGGUGGUACGUAAACCAACCAACGAGUAACAAUUGGAGGACAAGUCUGGUGCCAGCACCCGCGGUAAUUCCAGCUCCAAUAGCGUAUAUUAACGUUGUUGCUGUUAAAGGGUUCGUAGUUGAACUCAGAGUUGUGAGAUUUUGCUGCUUCGGCAGCUCUUCUUCCCAACUCUGUCCUAGACGGGGCCGGAGUCUGCGGAAGCGUCCCUUCAGUGGUGACGUGGAAGCGGUUGGCCGAAGAGGCUAACAUCCCACAUGCAACGCAUGGUCGAGACCGCCCGUCGUUAUCACUGUGAAGAAAACAGCGUGUUCAAAGCAGCCGCCUGCGGCUGAUGAUAAAGCAUGGAAUGACAAAGCAUCGACCACUGGGUCAGUCUUUUGUCGGUUUUACGACCCAACAUGGGGUAAUCGGUGGCGAAGUGUUAAUUUCCGUCACCUUGUGGUGAUGGAAGCUGUGAGAGGUGAAAUUCUUAGACCGUUCGAGGACGAACUUAUGCGAAGGCAUUUUCCAAGUAUACCUUCAUCAAUCAAGAACUAAAGUGUGGAGAUCGAAGAUGAUUAGAUACCAUUGUAGUCCACUACUGCAAACGAUGACGCCCAUGGAUCGGAUAGUAUUUUGCUCUGAUGGGAUCUUUUCGGCACUGCUCCCCCUUCAACGCGAAAGCUGAGGCUAUGGUCUCAUGGGGGAGUACGUUCGCAAGGCUGAAACUUAAAGAAAUUGACGGAAUGGCACCACCAGGCGUGGAGUGUGCGGUUUAAUUUGACUCAACACGGGAAACCUUACCAGGAUAGGACAACGGUAGGAUUGACAGAUUGAGAGUUCUUUCUUAAUUCGUUUGACGGUGGUGCAUGGCCGCUUUUGGUCGGUGAAGUGAUUUGUUUGGUUGAUUCCUUUAACGGACGAGACCCAAUCCGCUUACUAGGGGCACCAUCUACCGCAAGGUAAACGGAAGCGAGGGGAUUCGUCCCGCUCGUCUUCCCAGAUGGUGUAUCCCCUUCUUCGCGGCAUUCCGUGCGCCUUAGCACGGUGGCAUUUUGGGCAACAGCAGGUCCGUGAUGCUCCUAAAUGUCCUGGGCGACACGCGCACUACAAUGACAAAGUGAAUGAGCGAAACCAAUUUGGUCCUUCUUCGAAAGAAGUGGGAAAACUGAGAAAACUCUGUCGUGCUUGGGAUCGAAGCUUGCAAUUAUUCUUCUUGAACGAGGAAUGCCUAGUAGACGUGCUUCAUCAAAGCGCAUUGACUACGUCCCUGCCAUUUGUACACACCGCCCGUCGUUGUUACCGAUGCCAGUUGGAUAAAGGUUAACGGACUUGCGAUCCCUUCGAGGAUUGUGGGAAAGUUAACCCAUAUUUAACUAGUAGAGGAAGCAAAAGUCGUAACAAGGUAGCUGUAGGUGAACCUGCAGAAGGAUCA
Molecule: ribosomal RNA, 1968 nt
Filed under: uncultured eukaryote
Lineage: Eukaryota
Description: partial small subunit ribosomal RNA
Rfam family: Eukaryotic small subunit ribosomal RNA
Source: RNAcentral